RNAcentral lists this non-coding RNA (45 nucleotides) under Schistosoma mansoni. Lineage: Eukaryota; Metazoa; Platyhelminthes; Trematoda; Strigeidida; Schistosomatidae. The record is from RNAcentral.
AUCUAGCUGAAGAGUCCUAAAUAGGACGAAACGCGCGUCCUGGAU